AACGAACGCUGGCGGCAUGCCUAACACAUGCAAGUCGAACGAGACCUUCGGGUCUAGUGGCGCACGGGUGCGUAACGCGUGGGAAUCUGCCCUUUGCUUCGGAAUAACAGUUAGAAAUGACUGCUAAUACCGGAUGAUGUCUUCGGACCAAAGAUUUAUCGGCAAAGGAUGAGCCCGCGUAGGAUUAGGUAGUUGGUGGGGUAAAGGCCUACCAAGCCGACGAUCCUUAGCUGGUCUGAGAGGAUGAUCAGCCACACUGGGACUGAGACACGGCCCAGACUCCUACGGGAGGCAGCAGUGGGGGAAUAUUGGACAAUGGGCGAAAGACCUGAUCCAGCAAUGCGCGUGAGUGAUGAAGGCC
This 361-nucleotide ribosomal RNA is filed under the name uncultured bacterium. RNAcentral's name for it is "bacterial SSU rRNA". It matches the Rfam family "Bacterial small subunit ribosomal RNA", at positions 29 to 416 of the family's 1533-position model. The record is from RNAcentral.